GAGCGAUGAUGUUUCAUGCCUUUCUGGUGGAGGGGUUCAUCAGUCUUGUCUGAUCUACAAGUGAAGACAUUGUAGGCCUUUCUGAGCUC
Molecule: small nucleolar RNA, 89 nt
Organism: Lactuca sativa (garden lettuce)
Lineage: Eukaryota; Viridiplantae; Streptophyta; Magnoliopsida; Asterales; Asteraceae
Product: small nucleolar RNA snoR114
Source: RefSeq, a predicted model, not a curated record